Long non-coding RNA from Mastomys coucha (southern multimammate mouse), 400 nucleotides. RefSeq lists it as uncharacterized. The transcript has 2 exons. NCBI's taxonomy places the organism in Eukaryota, Metazoa, Chordata, Mammalia, Rodentia, Muridae. The record is from RefSeq and is a predicted model, not a curated record.
AGGUGAGCUCAUUCAUCUGGGAAAACAAAUGACCGAGACAUCUACACACCCAGGCACAGCGUGUCCUGUGUGUUCUCUAACACGGACACCUGACCUUCCUAAAGGAAAUACAGGUGAAACUACUAGGGGUGAGAAACCAGUGAAGGAGGUGAACAUGGCAUAGCAUAGUGCUCCACACAUAGGCAGCUUCCCACCUGUAUCGUACUCCCCAUCGUUCACUCUCUCCCAGGAAGAGCCACAAGUGGGAUAGCUGGAAUGGAGAGAUGGAGGAAAGGAGAUAGAGGUUCCACCCUCUGAAGAAACUGUGCCUCCACCCUCUGAAGCUACCCGGUUUCUCUGUUUCUUGCUCCAUCCUGAACAAAAUGGUUGGAUAAACACUUAAAACAAACUUUUUCAGCUA